RNAcentral lists this ribosomal RNA (407 nucleotides) under uncultured bacterium. Its description in RNAcentral is "partial 16S ribosomal RNA". It matches the Rfam family "Bacterial small subunit ribosomal RNA", at positions 30 to 526 of the family's 1533-position model. The record is from RNAcentral.
AUUGAACGCUGGCGGCAGGCCUAACACAUGCAAGUCGAGCGGAGCGGCGGAAGGGUGGGUAAUGACUAGGAGUCUGGCUGGUAGUGGGGGAUCACGUCCUGAAAGGGACGCUAAUACAGCAUACUAGCAGAUGAGCCUAGGUCGGAUUAGCUAGUUGGUGGGGUAAAGGACUACAAAGGCUACGAUCCGUAACUGGUCUGAGAGGAUGAUCAGUCAUACUGGGACUGAGACACGGUCCAGACUCCUACGGGAGGCAGCAGUGGGGAAUAUUGGACAAUGGGCGAAAGCCUGAUCCAGCCAUGCCGCGUGUGUGAAGAAGGUCUUCGGAUUGUAAAGCACUUUAAGUUGGGAGGCGUUACCGACAGAAUAAGCACCGGCGAACUCCGUGCCAGCAGCCGCGGUAAUUC